CGGGGCCCGCACAAGCGUGGAGCAUGUGGUUUAAUUCGACGCAACGCGCAGAACCUUACCUAGACUUGACAUCCCGGGGAUUUUCUGGAAACAGAGAAGUGCUUUAGCAAUAAAGAACCCGGUGACAGGUGCUGCAUGGCUGUCGUCAGCUCGUGUCGUGAGAUGUUGGGUUAAGUCCCGCAACGAGCGCAACCCUCGCCUUUAGUUGCCAGCAUUCAGUUGGGCACUCUAGAGGGACUGCCGGUGUCAAACCGGAGGAAGGUGGGAUGACGUCAAGUCCUCAUGGCCUUUAUGUCUAGGGCUACACACGUACUACAAUGGCCGGUACAAAGGGCAGCCACUCAGCGAUGAGGCGCUAAUCCCAUAAAGCCGGUCUCAGUCCGGAUCGCAGUCUGCAACUCGACUGCGUGAAGUUGGAAUCGCUAGUAAUCGUAGAUCAGCAUGCUACGGUGAAUACGUUCCCGGGCCUU
This 470-nucleotide ribosomal RNA is filed under the name uncultured Desulfovibrio sp. RNAcentral's name for it is "bacterial SSU rRNA". It matches the Rfam family "Bacterial small subunit ribosomal RNA", at positions 916 to 1381 of the family's 1533-position model. The record is from RNAcentral. Lineage: Bacteria; Pseudomonadati; Thermodesulfobacteriota; Desulfovibrionia; Desulfovibrionales; Desulfovibrionaceae.